ACUGGGAAGGACAACGCGAGAGGUCAGAGCCGUGUACUGUGCGUCGUCUCCACCGGAUUUGGGUUUUGGAAGGGACUUAAGUCACAGAAUGGAAUAGGAAGACAGGGUUUAAACACGUCCUGUAUCUGAAUGCCAGUUUUCCAUUCCCUUAAACACAAGAUCUGGGAAAACGUAUCUGAAGCCAGAAAAGUCCUGACCCGAGUUAAAAAAAAUGCUGGCGGUACCUGGGACAGAGCCACGCUGGGCCCAGUGGUCCUGCCGCUGAACCCGAAAGAGACUGCUCUGGGGAGUUUUUUUGUUUCUUACAUCUUGGAAUCCUGGUCAUAAAGGAGCAGGGACUUGGCAGGGACACCACUGCCCACGCCGGUGCCUGGUGAGUGCCCAUCCCGCCAGGCCCUUCCUCGCCAUAAAGCCAUCGUUGACCUUCUGACUUUCUAACCGCAAUGCUCACCAGCACCAGAAACCACGGCACGAAGGUCGGAAGGGCUUGCACACUUUGCUGUUAGCAGCAGCCCGGGACGGGAACAAGAAAGGCAGCUCUGGAAAACCAACUAUGAAACCAGAGAAGAUGCCCCUCGCUGGGCCGGCUCCCACCACUGAAUUUCUGACCAGGCAGUGUGGUCACAGACCAAGGACAUCCCCAAGGGGACCCGAGGCGGUAUAGCGUGUGCUAGGGGACUCCCAGGCAGGACUUCUCCCAGGACCACCUGGGACCACCGUCCCAGGGGCUUAUCACGGCCCCACAGGGUCCCUGUCAAUUAUAGGUGAACAGGUGAGUUUCCAAAUCGCUUCCGGGGCCCAGACCCUCACAACGGCAGGAACCAUGCCCUUCACCCCCAUCCCUGCCUCGGGGGAGAGGUGGGGUGGGAACUGGGUCUUUUGUGCUUUACCAGGUCCCAGUCGAUGCUGCGAAAGAAUGCAUGAGACUUGAUAUCGGAAAAUCCAGUCUGUGGCCGGCAACCGAGCCUCUCUUUGGGGUCCUAGGGGUCAGAGAUCAAAUAAGGACAUGUCAGCAUUGAGCAAAGAAGCCCCAAGUCACGGCGAGAGAAAACCAGCUUUCCUUCCCUCCAGGAUAGAAAGGGCUUCCUCGAAUCAUCUCCAGCCAGUCUUAACCAGCCCGGUGAUGAGCAGACAUUCCCUUCACUAAAAAUUCUACCCCUGA
Long non-coding RNA from Felis catus (domestic cat), 1162 nucleotides. RefSeq lists it as uncharacterized. The transcript is spliced from 2 exons. The record is from RefSeq and is a predicted model, not a curated record. Lineage: Eukaryota; Metazoa; Chordata; Mammalia; Carnivora; Felidae.